RNAcentral lists this ribosomal RNA (435 nucleotides) under uncultured bacterium. Its description in RNAcentral is "partial 16S ribosomal RNA". It matches the Rfam family "Bacterial small subunit ribosomal RNA", at positions 29 to 507 of the family's 1533-position model. The record is from RNAcentral.
AGCGAACGCUGGCGGCAUGCUUAACACAUGCAAGUCGAACGGGCUUCUUCGGCAGUCUGUGGCAGACUGGUGAGUAACACGUUGGAACGUGCCCUUCGGUUCGGAAUAACUCAGUGACACUUCAGCUAAUACCGGAUACGCCCUUUUGUUGUAAGGUUUACUGCCGAAGGAUCUGCCGGCUUCUGCUUUUCUUGCUGGUGGGGUAAGGGCCUACCAAGGCGACGAUCAGUAGCUGGUCAGAGAGGAUGAGCAGCCACACUGGGAGUGAGACACGGCCCAGAAUCCUACGGGAGGCAGCAGUGGGGAAUAUUGGAAAAUGGGGGCAAGCAUGAACGAGGCAUGCCGGGUGAGUGAUGAAGGCAGUAGGGUUGUAAAGCUCGUUUGUACGGGAGGAUAAUGACGGUACCGGAAGAAUAAGCCCCGGCUAACUUCGUG